This 568-nucleotide ribosomal RNA is filed under the name uncultured bacterium. RNAcentral's name for it is "partial 16S ribosomal RNA". It matches the Rfam family "Bacterial small subunit ribosomal RNA", at positions 355 to 912 of the family's 1533-position model. The record is from RNAcentral.
UGGGGAAUAUUGCACAAUGGGCGCAAGCCUGAUGCAGCCAUGCCGCGUGUGUGAAGAAGGCCUUCGGGUUGUAAAGCACUUUCAGCGAGGAGGAAGGUGGUGAACUUAAUACGUUCAUCAAUUGACGUUACUCGCAGAAGAAGCACCGGCUAACUCCGUGCCAGCAGCCGCGGUAAUACGGAGGGUGCAAGCGUUAAUCGGAAUUACUGGGCGUAAAGCGCACGCAGGCGGUUUGUUAAGUCAGAUGUGAAAUCCCCGGGCUCAACCUGGGAACUGCAUUUGAAACUGGCAAGCUAGAGUCUCGUAGAGGGGGGUAGAAUUCCAGGUGUAGCGGUGAAAUGCGUAGAGAUCUGGAGGAAUACCGGUGGCGAAGGCGGCCCCCUGGACGAAGACUGACGCUCAGGUGCGAAAGCGUGGGGAGCAAAACAGGAUUAGAUACCCUGGUAGUCCACGCUGUAAAACGAUGUCGAUUUUGGAGGUUGUGCCCUUGAGGCGUGGCUUCCGGAGCUAACGCGUUAAAUCGACCGCCUGGGGAGUACGGCCGCAAGGUUAAAACUCAAAUGAAUUG